UUUUCUAAUAUCUAGUAAACUGGGUACAAAAGAUGGAGGUAAGAAGCCCAUGUUCUCUCAGAUCGAGUAUAUCCCUGUCCUGAAUGGUGUAUCCAAGGUUCCCCAUGUCAUGUUUAAGUACAAAUCACUUGUUUAUUGUGACAUGGACCACUGAUAUCUGAAAUAUAUGAAAAGACCCAUCAGGGCCCAGGAAAAAUAUGCCCUCCUAAAAGUAAAAGAAUGUCCCUGCUAUUUAAAAGAAGAUUGGCACUAAUAAGAGGCUAAGGAGAAGCAAAAUAAGCAAAGUAAAUGUCUAAAAAAUAAGAGCAGAGCAUCUUCGACAUUACCUAGAUACAUUCAGAAAAUCAAAAGCACCUGAACUAACAACUAAAACAGUGCCCUGAAAUAGAAUCCCAGACAUGAAGCUAUAAGCAUAAAUAACAACCAAGGCAAAAUCAAAAGAAAUAAAAAUAUGUGCAUCACAAAAUACUAUUAGGAGAUCAGGUCUACUGUACAAAUAUGAGGCAGCUGCCAUACGAUCUCUAGAUGCGAAAGAGUUGCAUUCAUAACUAUAUAUACAUUAGCAAGAUAAAUCACUCUACCGAUUUGUAAGCGGCAAACCAGCUCAAAUGUAGUCAUCAUCAGUAACUCUUGCUUCGAUAAUAACAGCCAACCACCAUGUAUAUCCAUCCAUGAUACAUAAAGGGGGAGAAGUAAAUUACGUUGAAUGAGAAUUAAUUAAUUGCCACGCGGCUGCAGCUGCCAAACAUGCCACGGUUAAAUACAUGGAUUUUGUCAGGGAUCUGGGUACAUGAAAAUAGACAAAGUAACACAUCAAUUAGAAGGAGCCAAAACAAGCAGAGGUGGUCAGUGAGAAUACCCGCAGGCGCCCCAACAGGCUAUAGACACCAUGUCACCAUGUUGUGCAUAAAUAGUUAGACACCGUGACAUGGUGCCUAACAUGAGCCGAGACAGGCCGGCGAAACUGUAACAUGACGUGCAACAUGUAAGAAAGUAAGCAUCCAGGAAAGAUAGGCUGGCAGGCCAAGCAACUAAAUUAGAACACAUACACCCAUUUCUUGCACAGAGCAGUGCUUGUAAUCCCUUUAUUUUUUUUCAUUAACAAAGUGAGAAUGUAGGGUUAUUUUUUCAUUAACAAAUGUGAGAAUAGAAGGCGGAGAAGGAUGAGGAAGCAACGAUAGAAAGCUCUAUUACUUCACACGGCCAUUCGAACUAAUCACCAGGAGACAAAAGAACAUAUUAGGCUCUAGGAAUUGACACAACCUCUAUUGCUUUGUUCAUACACACUCAAUUCUGAAAAAGGAAAACAUAAGCUUCAGGAGCAAACAAAUAGAAUAUGAAAACUGUAUAUAUAUACAGAGAAAACAAAAAUAGGAAUGCAAACUGUCAUAUUACUCCCAGGUGUGAAGAGCCAAAGCUAUUUUCAAGCAGUAUUAUAAGCUAGCUCUAGAUUUUACUCCAUAGUAAACAUAACAGUUUUGUAAGGUAGCUCUAGAUUUUAUACG
This 1505-nucleotide long non-coding RNA is filed under the name Triticum aestivum (bread wheat). Its description in RNAcentral is "long non-coding RNA (TAES_LNC007798)". Lineage: Eukaryota; Viridiplantae; Streptophyta; Magnoliopsida; Poales; Poaceae. The record is from RNAcentral.